This is a non-coding RNA of Picea glauca (white spruce), 420 nucleotides long. Lineage: Eukaryota; Viridiplantae; Streptophyta; Pinopsida; Pinales; Pinaceae. The record is from Rfam.
UGUUAUAAGAUUUCCCAAAAAUCAAUCUCAAUGAAGAGGGUGUUGAAAUCAAGGAAACAUUUGAGGGCAUUCCAUAAAUUUUUCCCCUUCAAGCAAUAUCACAGAAAACCUUCCAUCCAAAGUCAAAAAAGUUAAAACCCAUUUUUGAGAGUUGUUGGUGACUCAUCCUAUAACUGAUGACAAUGUUAGGAAAUCCGGAGACGUCGUCAGGGGAUUUAGGAAGACUUAUCUUUUCUUUUUAAAAGCUUUCCCACCCUUAAAUCGGCUCAACUAGAGAUAGGAUCCAACAACUGGAAGAGAAUCACACGUCUUACAGUGUAUAGUGCGCCCUCGGUAGCCCUUGAAAAUCUGGAGGACUGAGUACCGUCCAUGCCCGGUCGUACUCAUAAUCGCAUUAGGUCUCCAAGGUGAACAACCUCU